This 253-nucleotide ribosomal RNA is filed under the name uncultured bacterium. RNAcentral describes it as "partial 16S ribosomal RNA". It matches the Rfam family "Bacterial small subunit ribosomal RNA", at positions 524 to 776 of the family's 1533-position model. The record is from RNAcentral.
UACGGAGGGGACUAGCGUUGUUCGGAAUUACUGGGCGUAAAGCGCACGUAGGCGGAUUUGUAAGUCAGGGGUGAAAUCCCGGGGCUCAACCUCGGAACUGCCUUUGAUACUGCAAAUCUCGAGUCCGGAAGAGGUGAGUGGAAUUCCUAGUGUAGAGGUGAAAUUCGUAGGUAUUAGGAAGAACACCAGUGGCGAAGGCGGCUCACUGGUCCGGUACUGACGCUGAGGUGCGAAAGCGUGGGGAGCAAACAGG